RNAcentral lists this ribosomal RNA (500 nucleotides) under uncultured bacterium. Its description in RNAcentral is "partial 16S ribosomal RNA". It matches the Rfam family "Bacterial small subunit ribosomal RNA", at positions 30 to 523 of the family's 1533-position model. The record is from RNAcentral.
AUUGAACGCUGGCGGCAGGCCUAACACAUGCAAGUCGAGCGGAUGAGAGGAGCUUGCUCCUCGAUUCAGCGGCGGACGGGUGAGUAAUGCCUAGGAAUCUGCCUAGUAGUGGGGGACAACGUUUCGAAAGGAACGCUAAUACCGCAUACGUCCUACGGGAGAAAGUGGGGGAUCUUCGGACCUCACGCUAUUAGAUGAGCCUGGGUCGGAUUAGCUAGUUGGUAGGGUAAAGGCCUACCAAGGCGACGAUCCGUAACUGGUCUGAGAGGAUGAUCAGUCACACUGGAACUGAGACACGGUCCAGACUCCUACGGGAGGCAGCAGUGGGGAAUAUUGGACAAUGGGCGCAAGCCUGAUCCAGCCAUGCCGCGUGUGUGAAGAAGGCCCUCGGGUCGUAAAGCACUUUAAGUUGGGAGGAAGGGCUUACAGCGAAUACCUGUGAGUUUUGACGUUACCGACAGAAUAAGCACCGGCUAACUUCGUGCCAGCAGCCGCAGUAA